UUUAAUUAUAUUGAAAAACGUUAAAAAUUGGUGCUUAAAAGUUUUAAACCACUGAAUUACCACAUUGGCAACAAUUGACACCAUUUAGAAAAAUAUGUAAAUCUUCGAUAAAUCACAUAAUACUUACCAUGUCAUCAAUUCCAUAAUGAGUAACUGCAACGGCCCCAACAAUAAAAAUUAUUGCAACUCCAUAUCUUUAUAUUCAAACAAACAUUUGUCAUCAGCAAUAAAUGAGCCCGCGACCGUUAGUGAAAAAUAAGAUAAGAAAAAAAUUAAAAAACUGCUUUACUAUUAAAAUACUCUAACUCCAAAACUCAUCGUAAAAAUAACAAAACCAUAGAGGAUCUAAAAAAUUCUACAAUAGAUUGGGAUUGGUUAAUGGCCAAAACGGCAGCUGAUCGCCUCGUCCGCCCAUUACCGUUAAAAGCUUUAUUGAUUCCGUAAACGAGACUGAAGGGGACCGGUGUGACCAGGAGGGGACCAUGAGG
This 488-nucleotide unclassified non-coding RNA is filed under the name Melitaea cinxia (Glanville fritillary). Its description in RNAcentral is "misc RNA ENSMCXG00005012204.1". Lineage: Eukaryota; Metazoa; Arthropoda; Insecta; Lepidoptera; Nymphalidae. The record is from RNAcentral.